AGAGUUUGAUCCUGGCUCAGGAUGAACGCUAGCUACAGGCUUAACACAUGCAAGUCGAGGGGAAACGAUAUUGGAAGCUUGCUUCCGAUAGGCGUCGACCGGCGCACGGGUGAGUAACGCGUAUCCAACCUGCCCACCACUUGGGGAUAACCUUGCGAAAGUAAGACUAAUACCCAAUGACGUCUCUAGAAGACAUCUGAAAGAGAUUAAAGAUUUAUCGGUGAUGGAUGGGGAUGCGUCUGAUUAGCUUGUUGGCGGGGUAACGGCCCACAAGGCUACGAUCAGUAGGGGUUCUGAGAGGAACGGUCCCCCANAUUGGAACGUGAGACACGGUCCAAACUCCGUACGGGAGGCA
RNAcentral lists this ribosomal RNA (355 nucleotides) under uncultured bacterium. Its description in RNAcentral is "bacterial SSU rRNA". It matches the Rfam family "Bacterial small subunit ribosomal RNA", at positions 8 to 350 of the family's 1533-position model. The record is from RNAcentral.